Molecule: ribosomal RNA, 1423 nt
Filed under: uncultured prokaryote
Description: partial 16S ribosomal RNA
Rfam family: Bacterial small subunit ribosomal RNA
Source: RNAcentral
UUGUUUAUGAGUACAGAUGCAGGUUGAGACGGCAGCACGAUAAACGCUAUGCUUUAUUGGUGGCGACCGGCGAACGGGUGCGUAACGCGUAUGCAAUCUGCCUUGUACAGGAGGAUAGCCCGGAGAAAUUCGGAUUAAUACUCCAUAGCACUAUCGAAUCGCAUGAUUUGAUAUUUAAAACUUCGGUGGUACAAGAUGAGCAUGCGUCCUAUUAGCUAGUUGGUGAGGUAAUAGCUCACCAAGGCGACGAUAGGUAGGGGUUCUGAGAGGAUGAUCCCCCACACUGGUACUGAGACACGGACCAGACUCCUACGGGAGGCAGCAGUGAGGAAUAUUGGUCAAUGGACGAAAGUCUGAACCAGCCAUGCCGCGUGCAGGAUGACUGCCCUAUGGGUUGUAAACUGCUUUUAUUUGGGAAGAAACCCCCCGACGUGUCGGGGGCUGACGGUACCAAACGAAUAAGGACCGGCUAACUCCGUGCCAGCAGCCGCGGUAAUACGGAGGAUGCAAGCGUUAUCCGGAUUCAUUGGGUUUAAAGGGUCCGUAGGCGGGCUUUUAAGUCAGAGGUGAAAGCCUACAGCUCAACUGUGGAACUGCCAUUGAUACUGAUUUUCUUGAAUAUGGUCGAAGUGGGCGGAAUAUGUCAUGUAGCGGUGAAAUGCUUAGAUAUGUCCUAGAACACCGAUUGCGAAGGCAGCUCACUAAAGUAGUAUUGACGCUCAGGCACGAAAGCGUGGGGAGCGAACAGGAUUAGAUACCCUGGUAGUCCACGCUGUAAACGAUGAUCACUCGUUAUUGGCGAUACACUGUCAGUGACUAAGCGAAAGUGUUAAGUGAUCCACCUGGGGAGUACGAUCGCAAGGUUGAAACUCAAAGGAAUUGACGGGGGCCCGCACAAGCGGUGGAGCAUGUGGUUUAAUUCGAUGAUACGCGAGGAACCUUACCAGGGCUUAAAUGUAGAGUGACCGCUCCCGAAAAGGAGCUUUCUUCGGACAAUUUACAAGGUGCUGCAUGGUUGUCGUCAGCUCGUGCCGUGAGGUGUUGGGUUAAGUCCCGCAACGAGCGCAACCCCUAUCUUUAGUUGCUAGCAGGUAAUGCUGAGGACUCUAAAGAAACUGCCGGUGCAAACCGUGAGGAAGGUGGGGACGACGUCAAGUCAUCACGGCCCUUACGUCCUGGGCCACACACGUGCUACAAUGGCGAGUACAGAGGGCAGCUACCAAGUGAUUGGAUGCAAAUCUCAAAAACUCGUCUCAGUUCGGAUUGAAGUCUGCAACUCGACUUCAUGAAGCUGGAAUCGCUAGUAAUCGCGUAUCAGCCAUGACGCGGUGAAUACGUUCCCGGGCCUUGUACACACCGCCCGUCAAGCCAUGGAAGCUGGGAGUGCCUGAAGUCUAUGUACCGUAACCUGCUAUGGUGCCUA